RNAcentral lists this ribosomal RNA (497 nucleotides) under uncultured bacterium. RNAcentral's name for it is "partial 16S ribosomal RNA". It matches the Rfam family "Bacterial small subunit ribosomal RNA", at positions 28 to 507 of the family's 1533-position model. The record is from RNAcentral.
GAUGAACGCUGGCGGCGUGCCUAAUACAUGCAAGUCGAGCGAACAGACGAGGAGCUUGCUCCUCUGACGUUAGCGGCGGACGUGUGAGUAACACGUGGAGAACCUACCUAUAAGACUGGGAUAACUUCGGGAAACCGGAGCUAAUACCGGAUAAUAUAUUGAACCUCAUGGUUCAAUAGUUAAAGACGGUUUUGCUGUCACUUAUAGAUGGAUCCGCGCCGCAUUAGCUAGUUGGUAAGGUAACGGCUUACCAAGGCGACGAUGCGUAGCCGACCUGAGAGGGUGAUCGGCCACACUGGAACUGAGACACGGUCCAGACUCCUACGGGAGGCAGCAGUAGGGAAUCUUGCGCAAUGGGCGAAAGCCUGACGGAGCAACGCCGCGUGAGUGAUGAAGGUCUUCGGAUCGUAAAACUCUGUUAUUAGGGAAGAACAAAUGUGUAAGUAACUAUGCACGUCUUGACGGUACCUAAUCAGAAAGCCACGGCUAACUACGUG